AUAUAGAUUAAGUUAUUAAGGGCGCACGGUGGAUGCCUUGGCACUAGAAGCCGAUGAAGGACGUUACUAACGACGAUAUGCUUUGGGGAGCUGUAAGUAAGCUUUGAUCCAGAGAUUUCCGAAUGGGGAAACCCAGCACGAGUUAUGUCGUGUUAUC
RNAcentral lists this ribosomal RNA (157 nucleotides) under Staphylococcus pseudintermedius. Its description in RNAcentral is "partial 23S ribosomal RNA". It matches the Rfam family "Bacterial large subunit ribosomal RNA", at positions 1 to 152 of the family's 2925-position model. The record is from RNAcentral. Lineage: Bacteria; Bacillati; Bacillota; Bacilli; Caryophanales; Staphylococcaceae.